Zootoca vivipara (common lizard) is the source of this 609-nucleotide long non-coding RNA. RefSeq lists it as uncharacterized. The record is from RefSeq and is a predicted model, not a curated record. Lineage: Eukaryota; Metazoa; Chordata; Lepidosauria; Squamata; Lacertidae.
CACCCCCCUUUUCUCCGUUCGCCGCCCCGCCCCUCGCCCAGCUCGUAACCUGCGCGCGCAAUAGGCGCGAGACCCGGCGCGUGCGCCACUUUCUGAAGCGCGGCCGUUCCGUUCCUUUUCUUCCACCCACCCCGCUGGCUUGGACGGCGGCGCGUGCGUGGUAGGAACCAACGACUCCGCGCUCGCGCGCUCUGCUCUCACCGCCUCAGGAACUCAAGGCGGCUUACAGAUAAACAAGAACAGCUACCGAGGCAAAGAGAGCAGAUCAUGGUGAGGUUGGUACGCAGACGUUCUCCACCCGCUGCAUCCAAAAGCACAUUCCAAACUGCCUCCCAGCUUCUACAUUUUGCAGGUGAAGAAACGCUCUCACACCACCUGCACAUUGGCAUGAGAGUGGGACAGUUGCUUCUUGGAAGACAAGUAUAUGCGGCAACGUAUGGCAAGAACUGAAGCUUGGAGCAGCUGCCAAGUGAAACCGCAGGGAGGAUAUGGAAGAUCUGCGCUGUUGCAGUCUGAAGCAUUACUGCAGAACCAGACAUUCGGAAGAAGACAACCAGGAAGAGGAGCUGAUAUGCUACCUGUAUGAUGCUAGAUCUGGCAGGAAAGAAG